This 2902-nucleotide ribosomal RNA is filed under the name Klebsiella pneumoniae. Its description in RNAcentral is "23S ribosomal RNA". It matches the Rfam family "Bacterial large subunit ribosomal RNA". The record is from RNAcentral. Lineage: Bacteria; Pseudomonadati; Pseudomonadota; Gammaproteobacteria; Enterobacterales; Enterobacteriaceae.
GGUUAAGCGACUAAGCGUACACGGUGGAUGCCCUGGCAGUCAGAGGCGAUGAAGGACGUGCUAAUCUGCGAAAAGCGUCGGUAAGGUGAUAUGAACCGUUACAGCCGGCGAUGUCCGAAUGGGGAAACCCAGUGCAAUUCGUUGCACUAUCGUUAACUGAAUACAUAGGUUAACGAGGCGAACCGGGGGAACUGAAACAUCUAAGUACCCCGAGGAAAAGAAAUCAACCGAGAUUCCCCCAGUAGCGGCGAGCGAACGGGGAGCAGCCCAGAGUCUGAAUCAGCUUGUGUGUUAGUGGAACGGUCUGGAAAGUCCGACGGUACAGGGUGAUAGUCCCGUACACCAAAAUGCACAGGCUGUGAACUCGAAGAGUAGGGCGGGACACGUGGUAUCCUGUCUGAAUAUGGGGGGACCAUCCUCCAAGGCUAAAUACUCCUGACUGACCGAUAGUGAACCAGUACCGUGAGGGAAAGGCGAAAAGAACCCCGGCGAGGGGAGUGAAAAAGAACCUGAAACCGUGUACGUACAAGCAGUGGGAGCACCUUCGGGUGUGACUGCGUACCUUUUGUAUAAUGGGUCAGCGACUUAUAUUCUGUAGCAAGGUUAACCGUAUAGGGGAGCCGCAGGGAAACCGAGUCUUAACUGGGCGUUAAGUUGCAGGGUAUAGACCCGAAACCCGGUGAUCUAGCCAUGGGCAGGUUGAAGGUUGGGUAACACUAACUGGAGGACCGAACCGACUAAUGUUGAAAAAUUAGCGGAUGACUUGUGGCUGGGGGUGAAAGGCCAAUCAAACCGGGAGAUAGCUGGUUCUCCCCGAAAGCUAUUUAGGUAGCGCCUCGUGAAUUCAUCUUCGGGGGUAGAGCACUGUUUCGGCUAGGGGGUCAUCCCGACUUACCAACCCGAUGCAAACUACGAAUACCGAAGAAUGUUAUCACGGGAGACACACGGCGGGUGCUAACGUCCGUCGUGAAGAGGGAAACAACCCAGACCGCCAGCUAAGGUCCCAAAGUCAUGGUUAAGUGGGAAACGAUGUGGGAAGGCACAGACAGCCAGGAUGUUGGCUUAGAAGCAGCCAUCAUUUAAAGAAAGCGUAAUAGCUCACUGGUCGAGUCGGCCUGCGCGGAAGAUGUAACGGGGCUAAACCAUGCACCGAAGCUGCGGCAGCGACACUAUGUGUUGUUGGGUAGGGGAGCGUUCUGUAAGCCUGCGAAGGUGACCUGUGAGGGUUGCUGGAGGUAUCAGAAGUGCGAAUGCUGACAUAAGUAACGAUAAAGCGGGUGAAAAGCCCGCUCGCCGGAAGACCAAGGGUUCCUGUCCAACGUUAAUCGGGGCAGGGUGAGUCGACCCCUAAGGCGAGGCCGAAAGGCGUAGUCGAUGGGAAACAGGUUAAUAUUCCUGUACUUGGUGUUACUGCGAAGGGGGGACGGAGAAGGCUAUGUUAGCCGGGCGACGGUUGUCCCGGUUUAAGCAUGUAGGCUGGUUGUCCAGGCAAAUCCGGAUAAUCAAGGCUGAGGUGUGAUGACGAGGCACUACGGUGCUGAAGUAACAAAUGCCCUGCUUCCAGGAAAAGCCUCUAAGCAUCAGGUAACAUUAAAUCGUACCCCAAACCGACACAGGUGGUCAGGUAGAGAAUACCAAGGCGCUUGAGAGAACUCGGGUGAAGGAACUAGGCAAAAUGGUGCCGUAACUUCGGGAGAAGGCACGCUGGUGUGUAGGUGAAGUCCCUGCGGAUGGAGCUGAGACCAGUCGAAGAUACCAGCUGGCUGCAACUGUUUAUUAAAAACACAGCACUGUGCAAACACGAAAGUGGACGUAUACGGUGUGACGCCUGCCCGGUGCCGGAAGGUUAAUUGAUGGGGUUAUCCGUAAGGAGAAGCUCUUGAUCGAAGCCCCGGUAAACGGCGGCCGUAACUAUAACGGUCCUAAGGUAGCGAAAUUCCUUGUCGGGUAAGUUCCGACCUGCACGAAUGGCGUAAUGAUGGCCAGGCUGUCUCCACCCGAGACUCAGUGAAAUUGAACUCGCUGUGAAGAUGCAGUGUACCCGCGGCAAGACGGAAAGACCCCGUGAACCUUUACUAUAGCUUGACACUGAACAUUGAGCCUUGAUGUGUAGGAUAGGUGGGAGGCUUUGAAGCGUGGACGCCAGUCUGCGUGGAGCCAACCUUGAAAUACCACCCUUUAAUGUUUGAUGUUCUAACGUUGGCCCCUUACCGGGGUUGCGGACAGUGUCUGGUGGGUAGUUUGACUGGGGCGGUCUCCUCCCAAAGCGUAACGGAGGAGCACGAAGGUUAGCUAAUCCUGGUCGGACAUCAGGAGGUUAGUGCAAUGGCAUAAGCUAGCUUGACUGCGAGCGUGACGGCGCGAGCAGGUGCGAAAGCAGGUCAUAGUGAUCCGGUGGUUCUGAAUGGAAGGGCCAUCGCUCAACGGAUAAAAGGUACUCCGGGGAUAACAGGCUGAUACCGCCCAAGAGUUCAUAUCGACGGCGGUGUUUGGCACCUCGAUGUCGGCUCAUCACAUCCUGGGGCUGAAGUAGGUCCCAAGGGUAUGGCUGUUCGCCAUUUAAAGUGGUACGCGAGCUGGGUUUAGAACGUCGUGAGACAGUUCGGUCCCUAUCUGCCGUGGGCGCUGGAGAAUUGAGGGGGGCUGCUCCUAGUACGAGAGGACCGGAGUGGACGCAUCACUGGUGUUCGGGUUGUCAUGCCAAUGGCACUGCCCGGUAGCUAAAUGCGGAAGAGAUAAGUGCUGAAAGCAUCUAAGCACGAAACUUGCCCCGAGAUGAGUUCUCCCUGAGACUUUAAGUCUCCUGAAGGAACGUUGAAGACGACGACGUUGAUAGGCCGGGUGUGUAAGCGCAGCGAUGCGUUGAGCUAACCGGUACUAAUGAACCGUGAGGCUUAACCUU